Molecule: ribosomal RNA, 496 nt
Filed under: uncultured bacterium
Lineage: Bacteria
Description: partial 16S ribosomal RNA
Rfam family: Bacterial small subunit ribosomal RNA
Source: RNAcentral
AUGAACGCUGGCGGCGUGCCUAAUACAUGCAAGUCGAGCGAACAGACGAGGAGCUUGCUCCUCUGACGUUAGCGGCGGACGGGUGAGUAACACGUGGAUAACCUACCUAUAAGACUGGGAUAACUUCGGGAAACCGGAGCUAAUACCGGAUAAUAUAUUGAACCGCAUGGUUCAAUAGUGAAAGACGGUUUUGCUGUCACUUAUAGAUGGAUCCGCGCCGCAUUAGCUAGUUGGUAAGGUAACGGCUUACCAAGGCAACGAUGCGUAGCCGACCUGAGAGGGUGAUCGACCACACUGGAACUGAGACACGGUCCAGACUCCUACGGGAGGCAGCAAUAGGGAAUCUUCCGCAAUGGGCGAAAGCCUGACGGAGCAACGCCGCGUGAGUGAUGAAGGUCUUCGGAUCGUAAAACUCUGUUAUUAGGGAAGAACAAAUGUGUAAGUAACUAUGCACGUCUUGACGGUACCUAAUCAGAAAGCCACGGCUAACUACGUG